UUUUCUUCCUCGACUUGCUAUACCCCAAA
This 29-nucleotide small RNA is filed under the name Bombyx mori (domestic silkworm). Its description in RNAcentral is "ovarian small RNA-38461". The record is from RNAcentral. Lineage: Eukaryota; Metazoa; Arthropoda; Insecta; Lepidoptera; Bombycidae.